This 90-nucleotide transfer RNA is filed under the name Lupinus albus (white lupine). RNAcentral describes it as "tRNA-His". The stretch from base 16 to 89 matches the Rfam family "tRNA". From Rfam's summary of the family: Transfer RNA (tRNA) molecules are approximately 80 nucleotides in length. Their secondary structure includes four short double-helical elements and three loops (D, anti-codon, and T loops). The record is from RNAcentral. Lineage: Eukaryota; Viridiplantae; Streptophyta; Magnoliopsida; Fabales; Fabaceae.
CGCCACGUUGUCAUUCCUAAUGUAGCCAAGUGGAUCAAGGCAGUGGAUUGUGAAUCCACCAUGCGCGGGUUCAAUUCCCGUCGUUCGCCC